RNAcentral lists this long non-coding RNA (204 nucleotides) under Hordeum vulgare. RNAcentral's name for it is "long non-coding RNA (HVUL_LNC014952)". Lineage: Eukaryota; Viridiplantae; Streptophyta; Magnoliopsida; Poales; Poaceae. The record is from RNAcentral.
GCCGCCUUCCCCGCCUGCUCGUCCCCUCCGCCGCGCCCCUUGGAUCCCGAGCGCCUCAUCGCGGCGGAGAGGGCGGCCGCCUUCUUGCCCCCGGCGUCGUGUCGCUUGGCCUCCGUGAGGAUGGGAUUGGUGUGCAACAUCGUGUGGCGGAGGCGGAGGCGGAGACGGAGGAGGGGGAGAGGGAACGCAUCGGCGGCGGCGCGG